Molecule: ribosomal RNA, 504 nt
Filed under: Bacillus safensis
Lineage: Bacteria; Bacillati; Bacillota; Bacilli; Caryophanales; Bacillaceae
Description: bacterial SSU rRNA
Rfam family: Bacterial small subunit ribosomal RNA
Source: RNAcentral
GAGUUUGAUCCUGGCUCAGGACGAACGCUGGCGGCGUGCCUAAUACAUGCAAGUCGAGCGAACAGAAGGGAGCUUGCUCCCGGAUGUUAGCGGCGGACGGGUGAGUAACACGUGGGUAACCUGCCUGUAAGACUGGGAUAACUCCGGGAAACCGGAGCUAAUACCGGAUAGUUCCUUGAACCGCAUGGUUCAAGGAUGAAAGACGGUUUCGGCUGUCACUUACAGAUGGACCCGCGGCGCAUUAGCUAGUUGGUGGGGUAAUGGCUCACCAAGGCGACGAUGCGUAGCCGACCUGAGAGGGUGAUCGGCCACACUGGGACUGAGACACGGCCCAGACUCCUACGGGAGGCAGCAGUAGGGAAUCUUCCGCAAUGGACGAAAGUCUGACGGAGCAACGCCGCGUGAGUGAUGAAGGUUUUCGGAUCGUAAAGCUCUGUUGUUAGGGAAGAACAAGUGCGAGAGUAACUGCUCGCACCUUGACGGUACCUAACCAGAAAGCCGCGG